UACAGUUGGACCAUGAGAUACACUUAAUGACUAUUGAAGAUAAGGUAUAAAUAUUUGAACCACCAGAGAAUUGGUAUUACUUACCUCUGUGAGUUUCAAGAGCUUUAUUAAAGAUGGCUAUUGCAUCAGCUUUAAUCGCGGCACUUGUUACCUUUCUAUUACACUUGCUACCUUAGUAGCAUUCGUUGAUAUGUAUUUUGCAUCAGCUGUCAUUGUGGGACUUGCUACCUUUCUAGCAUUCGUCGAUUUCACGAUUGCGAAGCCUGAACCAGAACCAAGUCAUGGACAUAAUGUCUCGUAAAAAUCUCUUCUCUUCUUAAUAGCAGGAUAAAUAUCUCUUGGAUCUACCGCAAUGGAAGCUGCACUUGUGUUAUGAUCAAGAGAAAUAAAAUUUUAAAAACAUAAAAAGCGUGUAUUAUUAAAUCCUGGAGAAUUCAA
This is a long non-coding RNA of Macrosteles quadrilineatus (aster leafhopper), 438 nucleotides long. RefSeq lists it as uncharacterized. The record is from RefSeq and is a predicted model, not a curated record. The transcript is spliced from 4 exons. NCBI's taxonomy places the organism in Eukaryota, Metazoa, Arthropoda, Insecta, Hemiptera, Cicadellidae.